CCUAGAUGAUGGUGAAUAGGACCACAGAGAGUGGCUUUACUCCGCUGCACAUUGCUGCUCACUACGGCAACAUCAACGUGGCAACGCUCCUCCUCAACCGCGGCGCUGCCGUGGACUUCAAAGCCAGGAAUGACAUCACACCGCUGCACGUGGCUUCUAAGAGAGGGAAUGGCAACAUGGUGAAAGUUCUGCUGGAGAGGGGAGGCACGAUAGACGCCAGGA
This is a long non-coding RNA of Oncorhynchus masou masou (cherry salmon), 222 nucleotides long. RefSeq lists it as uncharacterized. NCBI's taxonomy places the organism in Eukaryota, Metazoa, Chordata, Actinopteri, Salmoniformes, Salmonidae. The record is from RefSeq and is a predicted model, not a curated record. The transcript has 3 exons.